RNAcentral lists this ribosomal RNA (180 nucleotides) under uncultured Glomeromycotina. RNAcentral describes it as "partial small subunit ribosomal RNA". Lineage: Eukaryota; Fungi; Glomeromycota. The record is from RNAcentral.
GGCCCUGGCUGGGCGGUCCGCCUUUUUUGGGUGUGUACUGUUCCGUGCCGGGCUUCUUCCUUCUGGUGAACCAGUAUGCACUUUACUGUGUGUGCUGGCGAGCCAGGACUUUUACUUUGAAAAAAUUAGAGUGUUCAAAGCAGGCUUACGCUUGAAUACAUUAGCAUGGAAUAAUAGAAU